AGCAGCCGCGGUAAUUCCAGCUCCAAUAGCGUAUAUUAAAGUUGUUGCAGUUAAAAAGCUCGUAGUUGAACCUUAGGCCCGUGCGGGCGGUCCGUCCUCUGGGCGAGCACUGCCUCGUCGCGGGUCUCACCUUCUGGCGAGCGUGGAUGCCAUUCAUUUGGUGUCUGCGGGAACCAGGACCUUUACCUUGAAAAAUUAGAGUGCUCAAAGCGGGCUCUUACGCUUGAAUACAUUAGCAUGGAAUAAUGAAAUAGGACGACGGUUCUAUUUUGUUGGUUUCCGGGAUUGUCGUAAUGAUUAAUAGGGAUAGUUGGGGGCAUUCGUAUUCAAUUGUCAGAGGUGAAAUUCUUGGAUUUAUUGAAGACGGACUACUGCGAAAGCAUUUGCCAAGGAUGUUUUCAUUAAUCAAGAACGAAAGUUGGGGGAUCGAAGACGAUCAGAUACCGUCGUAGUCUCAACCAUAAACUAUGCCGACUGGGAAUCGGGCGAUGUUAUUUUUCGUGAC
This 505-nucleotide small RNA is filed under the name uncultured Paraglomus. RNAcentral's name for it is "SSU rRNA". It matches the Rfam family "Eukaryotic small subunit ribosomal RNA", at positions 569 to 1075 of the family's 1831-position model. Lineage: Eukaryota; Fungi; Glomeromycota; Glomeromycetes; Paraglomerales; Paraglomeraceae. The record is from RNAcentral.